This 433-nucleotide ribosomal RNA is filed under the name uncultured bacterium. RNAcentral's name for it is "partial 16S ribosomal RNA". It matches the Rfam family "Bacterial small subunit ribosomal RNA", at positions 29 to 507 of the family's 1533-position model. The record is from RNAcentral.
AACGAACGCUGGCGGCAUGCCUAACACAUGCAAGUCGAACGAGACCUUCGGGUCUAGUGGCGCACGGGUGCGUAACGCGUGGGAACCUGCCCUUAGGUUCGGAAUAACUCCCCGAAAGGGGUGCUAAUACCGGAUAAUGUCUUCGGACCAAAGAUUUAUCGCCUUUGGAUGGGCCCGCGUUGGAUUAGCUAGUUGGUAGGGUAAAAGCCUACCAAGGCGACGAUCCAUAGCUGGUCUGAGAGGAUGAUCAGCCACACUGGCACUGAGACACGGCCCAGACUCCUACGGGAGGCAGCAGUGGCGAAUAUUGGACAGUGGGCGAGAGCCUGAUCCAGCAAUGCCGCGUGAGUGAUGAAGGCGUGAGGGUUGUAAAGCUCGGUUACCCGGGAUGAUAAUGACCUUACCAGGCGAAUAAGCUCCGGCUAACUCCGUG